RNAcentral lists this ribosomal RNA (468 nucleotides) under uncultured bacterium. RNAcentral describes it as "partial 16S ribosomal RNA". It matches the Rfam family "Bacterial small subunit ribosomal RNA", at positions 28 to 507 of the family's 1533-position model. The record is from RNAcentral.
GACGAACGCUGGCGGCGUGCUUAACACAUGCAAGUCGAACGGAAAGGCCCUGCUUUUGUGGGGUGCUCGAGUGGCGAACGGGUGAGUAACACGUGAGUAACCUGCCCUUGACUUUGGGAUAACUUCAGGAAACUGGGGCUAAUACCGGAUAGGAGCUCCUGCUGCAUGUUGGGGGUUGGAAAGUUUCGGCGGUGGGGGAUGGACUCGCGGCUUAUCAGCUUGUUGGUGGGGUAGUGGCUUACCAAGGCUUUGACGGGUAGCCGGCCUGAGAGGGUGACCGGCGACAUUGGGACUGAGAUACGGCCCAGACUCCUACGGGAGGCAGCAGUGGGGAAUAUUGCACAAUGGGCGGAAGCCUGAUGCAGCAACGCCGCGUGCGGGAUGACGGCCUUCGGGUUGUAAACCGCUUUCGCCUGUGACGAAGCGUGAGUGACGGUAAUGGGUAAAGAAGCACCGGCUAACUACGUG